This 465-nucleotide ribosomal RNA is filed under the name Vreelandella stevensii. RNAcentral's name for it is "partial 16S ribosomal RNA". It matches the Rfam family "Bacterial small subunit ribosomal RNA", at positions 338 to 795 of the family's 1533-position model. The record is from RNAcentral. Lineage: Bacteria; Pseudomonadati; Pseudomonadota; Gammaproteobacteria; Oceanospirillales; Halomonadaceae.
CCUACGGGUGGCAGCAGUGGGGAAUAUUGGACAAUGGGGGCAACCCUGAUCCAGCCAUGCCGCGUGUGUGAAGAAGGCCCUCGGGUUGUAAAGCACUUUCAGUGAGGAAGAACGCCUGGUGGUUAAUACCCAUCAGGAAAGACAUCACUCACAGAAGAAGCACCGGCUAACUCCGUGCCAGCAGCCGCGGUAAUACGGAGGGUGCGAGCGUUAAUCGGAAUUACUGGGCGUAAAGCGCACGUAGGUGGCUUGAUAAGCCGGUUGUGAAAGCCCCGGGCUCAACCUGGGAACGGCAUCCGGAACUGUCAAGCUAGAGUGCAGGAGAGGAAGGUAGAAUUCCCGGUGUAGCGGUGAAAUGCGUAGAGAUCGGGAGGAAUACCAGUGGCGAAGGCGGCCUUCUGGACUGACACUGACACUGAGGUGCGAAAGCGUGGGUAGCAAACAGGAUUAGAUACCCUUGUAGUC